Molecule: non-coding RNA, 800 nt
Organism: Odocoileus virginianus texanus
Lineage: Eukaryota; Metazoa; Chordata; Mammalia; Artiodactyla; Cervidae
Source: RefSeq, a predicted model, not a curated record
GGGAGAUAGCUGUGUGGAACUCUGGCAUGCCAGAACUUCCAGAACAGUUUGUUUGAAACUGUAGCUCAAAUCACAGGACACUCUUAAGAAACGGAAUGACUCCUUCACUCAAAGAAACCACUCAUUAAAUAUUUGUUGAGUGUUCCGUGAUGGAUAACGGCUGGAGGAGCUCACACAUCUGCACCAUGUCUAUCCAGUCAGGGAGGGCUCUGUGAAAUGAAAGGAAGCACACCAUUCAGGACAUCCAGGUCCUCGUUUGUAUGCAGAGGCUCUGUACUUCUCAGCUGAUAUGUGCAGUAUAAACACCACUGGCUCCCCUCACACAUGCGGCAGAUGUUUGGCAUGCCAACAGGCAGGCAGGUUAUCACCAGGAGAAAAAAAAAGAUUCACUAGAAUAAAUAACACAUGGAAGGAAGAGUUAUGUGAAAUCAAGACCCAGCAUGGCUGCUUUGAUGGUCUAAAUGAAGGGGCAUAAUUUUUUUGGUCAAUGUUAUAAUAAAUCACUCCAUUCUCUCCCCUUCCUUCUUCUCUUCCUCUCCCUCCUCCUCCUUCUCCCACAGACAGGAUGGGGAGGAAGAGAAAGGAAGGAGGUUUUGCCUUCUGCCUGUGGGCUAGGGCAGGGCCAGCCUAGGAACCCACAGGUUGGCAGAUGUGUCUAGUUGAUGCUUCAGGGUUUGCAGGAGCUCUGAGAGAAGAGAAGGUGAAUGUGUGCUCCAAGAAAAAAGGAUACUGAGUUUAUGGAGGUGGCCCAAGAGGGAAAAUGGUUUCAAACAAGAGAGAAGCAAACAAAACAACAAGAA